UGAGGAAUAUUGGUCAAUGGGCGGGAGCCUGAACCAGCCAAGUCGCGUGAUGGAAGACGGUCUUACGGAUUGUAAACCUCUUUUGCCGGGGAGCAAAGGGCGCCACGCGUGGCGUUUCGAGAGUACCCGGAGAAAAAGCAUCGGCUAACUCCGUGCC
RNAcentral lists this ribosomal RNA (157 nucleotides) under uncultured bacterium. RNAcentral describes it as "partial 16S ribosomal RNA". It matches the Rfam family "Bacterial small subunit ribosomal RNA", at positions 355 to 509 of the family's 1533-position model. The record is from RNAcentral.